Molecule: ribosomal RNA, 693 nt
Filed under: uncultured bacterium
Lineage: Bacteria
Description: bacterial SSU rRNA
Rfam family: Bacterial small subunit ribosomal RNA
Source: RNAcentral
GAAAGCAAGGGGAGGCAAACAGGGAUUAUAUACCAUGGGUAGUUCAAUAGCACGUAAACGAAGUUUGACCUUUAGGAGGUAAAUGACCUUGAGGCAGUGGCUUCCGGAGCUAAACGCGUUAAAUCGACCCCCUGGGGAGUACGGCCGCAAGGUUUAAACUCAAAUGAAUUGACGGGGGCCCGCACAAGCGGUGGAGCAUGUGGUUUAAUUUGAUGCAACGCGAAGAACCUUACCUGGUCUUGACAUCCACGGAAGUUUUCAGAGAUGAGAAUGUGCCUUCGGGAACCGUGAGACAGGUGCUGCAUGGCUGUCGUCAGCUCGUGUUGUGAAAUGUUGGGUUAAGUCCCGCAACGAGCGCAACCCUUAUCCUUUGUUGCCAGCGGUCCGGCCGGGAACUCAAAGGAGACUGCCAGUGAUAAACUGGAGGAAGGUGGGGAUGACGUCAAGUCAUCAUGGCCCUUACGACCAGGGCUACACACGUGCUACAAUGGCGCAUACAAAGAGAAGCGACCUCGCGAGAGCAAGCGGACCUCAUAAAGUGCGUCGUAGUCCGGAUUGGAGUCUGCAACUCGACUCCAUGAAGUCGGAAUCGCUAGUAAUCGUGGAUCAGAAUGCCACGGUGAAUACGUUCCCGGGCCUUGUACACACCGCCCGUCACACCAUGGGAGUGGGUUGCAAAAGAAGUAGGUAGCU